GUGCAUCAGUGCUUCCGUUAGCUGCUAAUAAUCAGCUUUAAAUGUAUUUAAAAAUGAUGAAUAAAAGCUUGCCGGUUAAGAUGCCGGUACCAAUAAUAUGCAUAUCCUUAAACAGAACAUUGGUGUUUUAUUAAAAGCAAAUAAAUCAACAACGGAACUAUAUCUUAUUGAUUCAUCCGAGUCACAAAAUCCAGCCGCUUCCAACACCCUUUAGACAGCAGGAGAAAGCUUUUAUCCAAUCAUGUUUCAUUCUCCGAGAAGCUUCAGUCUAAGCUCCGCCCCCCAAAGCCUUCACCAGUAGUAGCAAUGAAUUAAAACCUUAAUUUUGAUUGUCCCAUCAUGGUGAUUAGAUUAGCUGAUUAAAUUGUUCUAUUUAUACGAGGAGGGAGUAAUCUGUCUGGGUUUGAUGGAAUGUGUGAUGGAAUGUGGCAGUACAUGCCAACAGAGUGCGAAGUGUGCGUGUGUGUGUGUGUGUGCGUGCGUGUGUGUGUGUGUGCUUAUUCCGGGGCAGUUCUGUUUGGCCAACCACAUUCUGCUGAUGUUGACAAAUAAUAAACGGUUAAUAGGAUAUAUCUCCUCUUGUCGUGACAUUGCGUUGAUAAAACUCUUGUGUAGUUAUAGGCCAUAAAUUAUGCUUUUCUAUACACAGUUCCGGAGACGGCCAUAGGGAUGAUUGACAGCUGUCAUUCACCCCACUUCUGCAUUCUAAGACAUUUAAACACAUAGUAUGCAUUAAGCAUGAAUAUUUAAAUGAAUAGUUGUCAUUAUCUUAGUAUGCUUAAAAAGUAUGCGGUAAGUAUGCAUUUAAACAGUUCUCAUUAUCUUAGUAUGCUUAAAAAGUAUGCAGUAAGUAUGCAUUUAAACAGUUCUCAUUGUCUUAGUAUGCUUAAAAAGUAUGCAUUUAAACAGUUCUCAUUAUCUUAGUAUUCUUAAAAAGUAUGCAGUAAGUAUGCAUUUAAACAGUUCUCAUUAUCUUAGUAUGCUUAAAAAGUAUGCAUUUAAACAGUUCUCAUUAUCUUAGUAUUCUUAAAAAGUAUGCAGUAAGUAUGCAUUUAAACAGUUCUCAUUAUCUUAGUAUGCUUAAAAAGUAUGCAGUAAGUAUGCAUUUUAAACAGUUCUCAUUAUCUUAGUAUGCUUAAAAAUAUGCAUUUAAACAGUUCUCAUUAUCUUAGUAUCCUUAAAAAGUAUGCAGUAAGUAUGCAUUUAAACAGUUCUCAUUAUCUUAGUAUGCUUAAAAAGUAUGCAGUAAGUAUGCAUUUUAAACAGUUCUCAUUAUCUUAGUAUGCUUAAAAAGUAUGCAGUAAGUAUGCAUUUAAACAGUUCUCAUUAUCUUAGUAUGCUUAAAAAGUGUAACAUUUUUCCUGGUA
Molecule: long non-coding RNA, 1367 nt
Organism: Clupea harengus (Atlantic herring)
Lineage: Eukaryota; Metazoa; Chordata; Actinopteri; Clupeiformes; Clupeidae
Source: Ensembl